UGUUAAAAAAUAGAAUUAAAGUUUCUGGAAUGUGGUGUCAUUGUAUCUCGGGCGAGUCUGAAAAUUCACAAAAACCCUGACCUAAAAAUAUCCUAAACCAAAGCGCUAUGUUUUACUAGACUUGGUCAGGGGUUAACAUAUUUUUCCAUUAAGCAGCUACAACUUCGAGAGUUAACGAAAAAAAGUUAUUAAAAUGAGUUUCAAGUUUUAAUCUUAAGUUUGGAUUAUAUAUCUGAUUUAUUUUAGUUUUAUCUAAGUUUCCUCCCACCUGAGAAGAAUUAGACAUAGACAUUUCGUAUUGGCAUUUUUCUUGAAGUUAAUUAUCUAAUUUUCAUAUCAGACAGAAAUUAAUGUUGUAAAAAACUUUUGGAAAAGACUUACUAUCGUUAGGAUGGAUCUGAUCCUACGUAGGCUAAAACAUCACUGAUUGAUCUUUAUGUUACUUACUCUAUCAGUCUUGAUUCUUUUCCCAUACACUUAGAUACCUAAACAUGUCUAUUUUUCAUAUUUCAAAAUCUACGAAGUUUCUUCUCGUUUUUUUACCGUGAACGAUAUAAAGCCCCUUUUUCUAGUAUUUACUAGCGAAUUUGAACUUUCUCUACUUUUGUCUUUCUAUUGUAUAGAUAGUCGAACAUAAUAUAAACAUGGAUUAAAAUUUUAAAUUAAGAUAUUUCUCAUAAUUGAUGUGUUACACACAUCAUUCACUUGACUGUGAAAUUAAAAAAAAAAAUUAGUAUGAAUUGUGAUCUACCUAUUUUGUAGAAUUUGGCGUGGAAAUUGUUUAAAAAAUGAUACGACAAAGAGGAACUUUAGAAGUUUUCCAUGAUAAUCUCGCUAAGGGUAAUUAAAGUUAUGAGCUUUUUAAAGUAGGUUGGGAAUGUAAUGAAAAACUAACCGAAUUACUUAAUUUUUUUUAAAGCGCAACAACAUGUUUAUCGAGAAUUUAUUGUCCCACACGUUGUUUGAAAAUGAAGUUAAUGAAAAAAGAUGAUAGUUCAAAU
This 1001-nucleotide long non-coding RNA is filed under the name Helianthus annuus (common sunflower). RNAcentral's name for it is "hypothetical non coding rna". The record is from RNAcentral. Lineage: Eukaryota; Viridiplantae; Streptophyta; Magnoliopsida; Asterales; Asteraceae.